AUCCUUUUCUAGUUCAUAAGCAUGAAAAUUGGGUGUUCACGCAUUUGUGUGACAUGUGCCUCCCACAAACCAUGUUACAACAUCAGGACAUUACCUGUCUGACA
Molecule: small nucleolar RNA, 104 nt
Organism: Artibeus jamaicensis (Jamaican fruit-eating bat)
Lineage: Eukaryota; Metazoa; Chordata; Mammalia; Chiroptera; Phyllostomidae
Product: small nucleolar RNA U13
Exons: 1
Source: RefSeq, a predicted model, not a curated record